This 726-nucleotide long non-coding RNA is filed under the name Chlamydomonas reinhardtii. RNAcentral's name for it is "long non-coding RNA (CREI_LNC000291)". The record is from RNAcentral. Lineage: Eukaryota; Viridiplantae; Chlorophyta; Chlorophyceae; Chlamydomonadales; Chlamydomonadaceae.
CCGCACGCUGCGUAGCAUCAGCAGGUAAGUGGCGCAGGGUGAGCAAGGCCUGGGCCUGGGGAUAUGUCCGCACCCGCGAUCGAGCAAAACUGCCACCUACAGCAUCCGCUAAGCACCUGCAGCAGGCCAUACUCUCUUAACGUCCUGGGUUCAGACACGGAUACAACCCCAGCCUGGGCCCAAUGCAUGUCGCUCUGAGCUAGUGUCCCGCACCUGCAGGAUGUACUGGGUCGUCUCCACAAAGCGGCGCGCGCAGUUUUCCAAGCAAGUGCUCUCCUUGCUGGACAGAUAGCUUCCUGGAGACUGGACACAGGUGUCCCAGCACACCUGUAGGCCACCAAAGGGUAGAUUAGGGCCAAGGCGGUGCAGGAACGAAAUACCGCUGGGUUUCAGGGGUGUCUUGUGCAGUUGCCCUUGGGGGGUUGACCUUGGGCCCCGUCAUCCACAUCCACCUCGCCAACCCCCUGCCAUGUAACCCCGGAACCGAUAUUUGGUAUGGGUACCGAGAUGCCUGGCACCUCAACCCGACGGCGGAGGAGAAGCACGCCUCAACAUCAGACUGAUGUUGCCGGCCGGCCAGUCCCGACAGGUUGACAAGCUCAGAUCAGCACUGAAUGCCCAUCUAUAUGCGCACGGCACAUAUCACAGGGCUUUGGGCUGCGAAAUGCAUUGCGCAACCCAGAUGCUCUGCCUCAUCGCUCGGGGUUCACUGCCUGUCACCCAAGC